UGAGGAAUAUUGGUCAAUGGGCGAGAGCCUGAACCAGCCAAGUAGCGUGCAGGACGACGGCCCUAUGGGUUGUAAACUGCUUUUAUAAGGGAAUAAAGUGGGUCACGUGUGACUUUUUGCAUGUACCUUAUGAAUAAGGACCGGCUAAUUCCGUGCCAGCAGCCGCGGUAAUACGGAAGGUCCGGCGUUAUCCGGAUUUAUUGGGUUUAAAGGGAGCGUAGGCCGUUUUUUAAGCGUGUUGUGAAAUGCCGCGGCUCAACCGUGGCACUGCAGCGCGAACUGGAUGACUUGAGUGCGCGGGAGGUAGGCGGAAUUCGUGGUGUAGCGGUGAAAUGCUUAGAUAUCACGAAGAACUCCGAUUGCGAAGGCAGCUUACCGUAGCGUUACUGACGCUGA
RNAcentral lists this ribosomal RNA (396 nucleotides) under uncultured Prevotella sp. Its description in RNAcentral is "bacterial SSU rRNA". It matches the Rfam family "Bacterial small subunit ribosomal RNA", at positions 355 to 749 of the family's 1533-position model. The record is from RNAcentral. Lineage: Bacteria; Pseudomonadati; Bacteroidota; Bacteroidia; Bacteroidales; Prevotellaceae.